This 440-nucleotide ribosomal RNA is filed under the name uncultured bacterium. RNAcentral's name for it is "partial 16S ribosomal RNA". It matches the Rfam family "Bacterial small subunit ribosomal RNA", at positions 338 to 795 of the family's 1533-position model. The record is from RNAcentral.
CCUACGGGUGGCUGCAGUGGGGAAUAUUGCACAAUGGGGGAAACCCUGAUGCAGCGACGCCGCGUGAGUGAAGUAGUAUUUCGGUAUGUAAAGCUCUGUCAGCAGGGAAGAAACUGACGGUACCUGAACAAGAAGCCCCGGCGAAAUAAGUUCCAACAGCCCGGGUUAUACGUAGGGGGCAGGCGUUACUCGGAUUUACUGGGUGUAAAGGGGAGGUAGACGGCAUGGCAAGUCUGGAGGGAAAGGCGGGUGCUCAACCCCCGGACUGCUCUGGAAACUGCCAGGCUGGAGUGCAGGAUGGGGAAGUGGAAUUCCUAGUGUAGCGGUGAAAUGCGUAGAUAUUAGGAGGAAAACCGGUGGCGAAGGCGGCUUACUGGACUGUAACUGACGUUGAGGCUCGAAAGCGUGGGGAGCAAACAGGAUUAGAUACCCCGGUAGUC